This 601-nucleotide ribosomal RNA is filed under the name Neisseria mucosa. Its description in RNAcentral is "bacterial SSU rRNA". It matches the Rfam family "Bacterial small subunit ribosomal RNA", at positions 378 to 971 of the family's 1533-position model. The record is from RNAcentral. Lineage: Bacteria; Pseudomonadati; Pseudomonadota; Betaproteobacteria; Neisseriales; Neisseriaceae.
CAAGCCUGAUCCAGCCAUGCCGCGUGUCUGAAGAAGGCCUUCGGGUUGUAAAGGACUUUUGUCAGGGAAGAAAAGGGCGGGGUUAAUACCCCUGUCUGAUGACGGUACCUGAAGAAUAAGCACCGGCUAACUACGUGCCAGCAGCCGCGGUAAUACGUAGGGUGCGAGCGUUAAUCGGAAUUACUGGGCGUAAAGCGGGCGCAGACGGUUACUUAAGCAGGAUGUGAAAUCCCCGGGCUCAACCUGGGAACUGCGUUCUGAACUGGGUGACUAGAGUGUGUCAGAGGGAGGUAGAAUUCCACGUGUAGCAGUGAAAUGCGUAGAGAUGUGGAGGAAUACCGAUGGCGAAGGCAGCCUCCUGGGAUAACACUGACGUACAUGCCCGAAAGCGUGGGUAGCAAACAGGAUUAGAUACCCUGGUAGUCCACGCCCUAAACGAUGUCGAUUAGCUGUUGGGCAGCAUGACUGCUUAGUAGCGAAGCUAACGCGUGAAAUCGACCGCCUGGGGAGUACGGUCGCUAGAUUAAAACUCAAAGGAAUUCGACGGGGACCCGCACAAGCGGUGGAUGAUGUGGAUUAAUUCGAUGCACGCGAAGAACCU